UACAGAGGUCUCAAGCGUUGUUCGGAUUCAUUGGGCGUAAAGGGUGUGUAGGUGGCGCCGUAAGUCGGGUGUGAAAUUUCGGAGCUUAACUCCGAAACUGCAUUCGAUACUGCGGUGCUUGAGGACUGGAGAGGAGACUGGAAUUCAUGGUGUAGCAGUGAAAUGCGCAGAUAUCAGGAGGAACACCGGUGGCGAAGGCGGUGGGCUGGGCCGGAACUGACGCUGAGGAGCGAAAGCGUGGGGAGCGAACAGG
RNAcentral lists this ribosomal RNA (253 nucleotides) under uncultured bacterium. RNAcentral describes it as "partial 16S ribosomal RNA". It matches the Rfam family "Bacterial small subunit ribosomal RNA", at positions 524 to 776 of the family's 1533-position model. The record is from RNAcentral.